This 465-nucleotide ribosomal RNA is filed under the name Vreelandella stevensii. Its description in RNAcentral is "partial 16S ribosomal RNA". It matches the Rfam family "Bacterial small subunit ribosomal RNA", at positions 338 to 795 of the family's 1533-position model. The record is from RNAcentral. Lineage: Bacteria; Pseudomonadati; Pseudomonadota; Gammaproteobacteria; Oceanospirillales; Halomonadaceae.
CCUACGGGAGGCUGCAGUGGGGAAUAUUGGACAAUGGGGGCAACCCUGAUCCAGCCAUGCCGCGUGUGUGAAGAAGGCCCUCGGGUUGUAAAGCACUUUCAGUGAGGAAGAACGCCUGGUGGUUAAUACCCAUCAGGAAAGACAUCACUCACAGAAGAAGCACCGGCUAACUCCGUGCCAGCAGCCGCGGUAAUACGGAGGGUGCGAGCGUUAAUCGGAAUUACUGGGCGUAAAGCGCGCGUAGGUGGCUUGAUAAGCCGGUUGUGAAAGCCCCGGGCUCAACCUGGGAACGGCAUCCGGAACUGUCAAUCUAGAGUGCAGGAGAGGAAGGUAGAAUUCCCGGUGUAGCGGUGAAAUGCGUAGAGAUCGGGAGGAAUACCAGUGGCGAAGGCGGCCUUCUGGACUGACACUGACACUGAGGUGCGAAAGCGUGGGUAGCAAACAGGAUUAGAUACCCUAGUAGUC